GAUUAAAGGAAGUUUAAUUGGGCUUUGCAAGAGUGGGCUGAUUUUAGCUUGUGUGAGCAAUUCACUAGCUAUCAUUAUUUGACAAGGAUUCGGCUAGGGAUUAAAGAUAUAAAAGCCGAACUUUGGCUUUUGCAAAGAGAGAGCCGCCAGAAGGGAGAGCUGCAGACGCAAGGAUUCAAGACAGAGAAGAAAAUCUGCAGCAAUUCGGCUUUCCCAUGGCUGAAUUUAUUUAUUUUGUUGCUCCCAAUUCAAGUAUGUCUAGCUAAUUUUCUUAGGCUCGGCUAUCCUCCCUAGCCGAGCCAGAAAAAAAAAAUAAAAUAGAUUAGAUAUAACUGAGUUGAAAAGAAAGGAAAAAGCCUGCUGUACCGUACAUCCGCCUUGGCCGUACAGCAGGGUGGAUUCUGAAACCUUGGUAAUUUUUAUCUUAUUGAAUUCUCCUUUAUUUUAAUUUCCUUAGUUUAAUUGGUUUAAUUUUCUUAAAAACUCAAUUUGCUCAACUAGGUUAGGAUUAAUAUCAAUAUUAGAUUUAAAUUAGACUUUUCAAUUUAUAACAAUCCAUGUGGUUCGACCUCGUUACCACUAUUCUAAUUUUAGAUUCAUGCGCUUGCGAGUAUAUUAAAAUUUUUCACAACAAUGUCAAAGUGUUAUAGGAAUAACGUUCCAGUCCGCACUUUGCUUGUUGCCUAUAUAGUUAUUAUAUCAAUGAGUUCAUGUCCCUUGGUAAUAGAAGCAAGAAUUCUGAAUUUCUCAACUAUCCGAGGUGUGAAACUAAUUAAGAACAUGAAAUUUUUUUAUCCAAUUAAUUGAAGAACAUUAAUUUUAUAUAUCCUUCCACUAUUUUUGUAUUUUUGUUUUUCUGCUGUACCGUACAUCCGCCUUUGACUCUUUGUUAUUCAAUAUGUUUACAUGAGAUUCUUAGAUGUCAUAUUAUUAAGCAGAAAAAGAACCUACAUUAGAUUUAAUUACUUGGGCUUAAUUGUUAUAUCCAUGAGAUGACAUAGAUUGAUUUCGAGUUGUCACUCUAAAAUUGGGGAUUAAUUAAUAAUUAGAUAAUUACUAGUUGAAUAGUGGUGGAUUCUGAAACCUUGGUAAUUUUUAUCUUAUUGAAUUCUCCUUUAUUUUAAUUGCUUCCUUAGUUUAAUUGGUUUAAUUUUCUUAAAAACUCAAUUUGCUCAACUAGGUUAGAAUUAAUAUUAAUUUUAGAUUUAAAUUAGACUUUUCAAUUUAUAACAAUCCCUGUGGGAUCGAUCUCGUUACCACUAUUCUAUCUCUAGAUUCGUGCGCUUGCGAGUACAUUAAAAUUUUCACAACACCCAGCAUUCGACACUGGCUCUGUAUCAUCACCAAAUUCCCAUUUCCAGUAAUUCAAAUUCCAGUUGAGGGUGUUGAGAUGGCCGAUGACGUAGCACUAGCUACAAUUGUUUUCUUUUGACCAGAAGCUUUAUCAUUCGCGCCGCAUGCAGUGUCAUUCUGGUUGAAGGCCUCGAGAUGGCUGAUGAAGUAGCACUGCCGGCUACUACCUUCAACACAGACCUACCACCCUGCAAUGUCAUUCUGGUUUAAGGCGAAGAAUCACUGGCUUCAUCAUUAUCAUUCACCACAGAAAUAGCACUCGUAGCCACAUUAGUUUUCCUUAUAUCAGAAGCAACAUUUUCUAACAUAUACUUGAGAAGAUAUUAUAGUGUGUCCAUCUUUUUCACUUUUUCGUCUAUAGUAAUCAGACAAUUUGCCUCAUCUCCCUGCCCUGAUCCUACCACAGAGAUCUUGAAUAGCCUUAUCAAGUUUCAAUGAGCUGAGAAUUUCAAUCACAUCUUCAUAGAUUCCUUUCACCACCCCAUAGCUUCUACUGAAGAAUUCAUAUCCAUUGACGAAACCAUGAACCCUCAUGUGCAACCCCAUAGAGCAAGAGAAGAUCCAUUGACAUCUUCUUAGAUAAAUCCAUUGCACUGCCUUUCCUGCAAGCAAGCAAACAAACAGCCCAGCAAACAGAGAAGGGAAUUCUUUUAAAUUACCUGGCUUGAAGAUUUUUACAAAUACGGUCCCAAAGAUUCAUGAGUCCUCUUCCAUGGAUGUAGUUGGUAGAAACUUGUCUAUAAUUCUUGUCUUGUAUUAUCUAAUACACUGAUAGCGUUUGCAAUUUCAAACUUACCUGGCUCCAUAAAUCUGUCAAACCAGAUGUUUCUGAUAACUGCAUUUCCUUCUCCAUACGCUCUUGUAAACAAACAAGCACUUCUGCUGGCUCAUAGUAGAUAAUACAUGACAAGAAGAACCAAGGAGAAAGC
RNAcentral lists this long non-coding RNA (2282 nucleotides) under Citrus sinensis (sweet orange). Its description in RNAcentral is "long non-coding RNA (CSIN_LNC000931)". The record is from RNAcentral. Lineage: Eukaryota; Viridiplantae; Streptophyta; Magnoliopsida; Sapindales; Rutaceae.